This 1019-nucleotide ribosomal RNA is filed under the name Paenibacillus ehimensis A2. Its description in RNAcentral is "bacterial LSU rRNA". It matches the Rfam family "Bacterial large subunit ribosomal RNA", at positions 1899 to 2925 of the family's 2925-position model. Lineage: Bacteria; Bacillati; Bacillota; Bacilli; Caryophanales; Paenibacillaceae. The record is from RNAcentral.
CCGAAGCUGUGAACCGAAGCCCCAGUAAACGGCGGCCGUAACUAUAACGGUCCUAAGGUAGCGAAAUUCCUUGUCAGGUAAAUUCUGACCCGCACGAAUGGCGUAACGACUUGGGCGCUGUCUCAACGAGAGAUCCGGUGAAAUUUUAAUACCUGUGAAGAUGCAGGUUACCCGCGACAAGACGGAAAGACCCCAUGGAGCUUUACUGCAGCUUGAUAUUGGACUUUGGUACGAUCUGUACAGGAUAGGUGGGAGCCUGAGAAGCAUGAGCGCCAGCUUGUGUGGAGGCGACGUUGGGAUACCACCCUGAUCGUAUCGGAGUUCUAACUUGGUACCGUAAUCCGGUACGAGGACAGUGUCAGGUGGGCAGUUUGACUGGGGCGGUCGCCUCCUAAAGCGUAACGGAGGCGCCCCAAGGUUCCCUCAGAAUGGUUGGAAAUCAUUCGAAGAGUGCAAAGGCAUAAGGGAGCUUGACUGCGAGACAAACAGGUCGAGCAGGGACGAAAGUCGGGCUUAGUGAUCCGGUGGUACCGAAUGGAAGGGCCAUCGCUCAACGGAUAAAAGCUACCCUGGGGAUAACAGGCUUAUCUCCCCCAAGAGUCCACAUCGACGGGGAGGUUUGGCACCUCGAUGUCGGCUCAUCGCAUCCUGGGGCUGAAGUAGGUCCCAAGGGUUGGGCUGUUCGCCCAUUAAAGCGGUACGCGAGCUGGGUUCAGAACGUCGUGAGACAGUUCGGUCCCUAUCUGUCGCGGGCGUAGGAAAUUUGAGAGGAGCUGUCCUUAGUACGAGAGGACCGGGAUGGACGUACCGCUGGUGUACCAGUUGUUCCGCCAGGAGCACGGCUGGAUAGCCAAGUACGGAAGGGAUAAGCGCUGAAAGCAUCUAAGCGUGAAGCCCCCCUCAAGAUGAGAUUUCCCAGUAUGUAAGACCCCUUGUAGACGACGAGGUUGAUAGGUUCGGGGUGGAAGCGCGGCAACGCGUGCAGCUGACGAAUACUAAUCGGUCGAGGGCUUAUCCAA